Molecule: long non-coding RNA, 630 nt
Organism: Dama dama (fallow deer)
Lineage: Eukaryota; Metazoa; Chordata; Mammalia; Artiodactyla; Cervidae
Exons: 3
Source: RefSeq, a predicted model, not a curated record
ACCGGAUGUCAGGCCACUGUGUCUCGAACAUGGACCUGGGUUUGUUAUGGAAGAGAGGGGAGGGCAGGCCCCUGGUCUGGUGAGAAGCACAGACGAUUUCCUCCAGGCCCCCGCUCAGCCGAACUGCACCCCUCUGGAUACCUUGAGAACCUCGCGUCACCCCUCUGAGCCUCACUUCUGGCACCCCGCUGCGUGCACGGAUGUUUGAGCUUGAGAAAUCGGUGCUUGAGGCCAUCAGUGAAAACAAGAGGUGCUAAGAACUCUACAACCUUGAGAAGACGGCCAACAAACAGGGCCCAAGUGCUGCCUCCCAGCUUCAACCCAACAGCUUCUUAUGAGCAGGAGAAGAUGCUCUACUACCUCUUGCCUCUGGUCCUCACCCUUCACGCGUCCGGAGGUGGAUAUGAUCCAGGUUCCUUUGCGGCCCCAAGUCUGAUCUGAGGAUGUACUUGGAAGGGCGGCUUCCCUGGUGGUUUACUCACUGCCAUCACAGCAAGGAAGGGGCUGGAUCUGCAGAAGAGACGACCUGUAGACCCAAUUCUGGAAUGCUUGGGAAUGCCAAAGUUGGAAGCUGAAUUCCAGGGCAGGUGGAAAUUGUAAUUUCUCUCAUAUCAGGACAAAGUUGCCUGA